UACGUAGGCAGCAAGCGUUGUUCGGAAUUACUGGGCGUAAAGAGUGUGUAGGCGGUGUUCUAAGUUUGUCGUGAAAUCUCCCGGCUUAACUGGGAGGGUGCGGCGAAAACUGGAAUGCUAGAGGAUGGGAGAGGUAAGCGGAAUUCCUGGUGUAGCGGUGAAAUGCGUAGAUAUCUGGAGGAAUACCGGUGGCGAAGGCGGCAUCCUGGACCGACAUUGACGCUGAGGAGCGAAAGCUAGGGGAGCAAACGGG
RNAcentral lists this ribosomal RNA (253 nucleotides) under uncultured bacterium. RNAcentral's name for it is "partial 16S ribosomal RNA". It matches the Rfam family "Bacterial small subunit ribosomal RNA", at positions 524 to 776 of the family's 1533-position model. The record is from RNAcentral.